Molecule: transfer RNA, 72 nt
Filed under: Camelus bactrianus (Bactrian camel)
Lineage: Eukaryota; Metazoa; Chordata; Mammalia; Artiodactyla; Camelidae
Also listed under: 2 other names
Rfam family: tRNA
About the family: Transfer RNA (tRNA) molecules are approximately 80 nucleotides in length. Their secondary structure includes four short double-helical elements and three loops (D, anti-codon, and T loops).
Source: Rfam by way of RNAcentral
GAGGAUAUAGCUCAGCGGUAGAGUGCCUGCUUAACAUGCACAAGGUCCUGGGUUCAAUCCCCUGUACCUACA